UCCGUACUGGUGUAUCGGUAACAUAUCCGCCUUUCAAGGUCAACUUAAGUCCUCAGUCCGCAGUUGCGCAGGGUUCGACUCCCUGGUACGGAA
Molecule: non-coding RNA, 93 nt
Organism: Xylogone sp. PMI_703
Lineage: Eukaryota; Fungi; Ascomycota; Leotiomycetes
Source: the annotation of a GenBank genome assembly